RNA transcript from Oryzias latipes (Japanese medaka), 1094 nucleotides. It is a transcript of the gene named troponin T, fast skeletal muscle isoforms pseudogene, with no coding region annotated. Lineage: Eukaryota; Metazoa; Chordata; Actinopteri; Beloniformes; Adrianichthyidae. The record is from RefSeq and is a predicted model, not a curated record.
UUCCCCAGACUCCAGUCUUCUUUUUUGUAGACUCCAGCUGGUACGUCCUCUUUGAAGCUACCGCCAUGGCAGACUUUGAAGAAAGUGUUGAGUAUGAAGAGGAAGAGGUUGAGGAAAAGAAUGAGGAAGAGUCUAAAUCCAAACACAAAACGGUUUAUGUGCCUAACAUGGUCCCUCCAAAGCUUCCCGAUGGCGAGAAAGUGGAUUUUGAUGACCUCCACCGCAAGCGACUGGAGAAGGAUUACAAUGACCUGCAGAGUCUUAUUGAGCUACAUUUUUCCAGCCGUCAGAAGGAAGAGGAAGAGCUUAUUUCACUGCGCAACCGUAUCGAAAGCCGCCGCGCCGACAGAGCUGAACAGCAGCGUGUCCGCGCGGAGCAGGAGCGCGAGCGGCAAGCACGAGUGGCUGAGGAGAGGUCAAGGAGGGAGGAAGAGGCAGCCAAGCAGCGCGCCGAAGAGGAUGCCAAGAAAAAGAUGAUAUUCUCCAACAAAUCAUUCGGUGGAUACCUGCAGAAGGUCGACCAGAAGAAAGGCAAGAAGCUGACAGCUCGUGAGGAGAAGAAGAAGGCCUUGAUGGAGCGCAGGAAGCCGCUGAACAUCGACCACCUGAACCAGGACAAGCUGCUAGAGAAAGCUCAGGAACUCUGGCAGUGGCUCUACCAGCUGCAUUCUGAGAAGUUUGAUCUGGCUGAGAAGCUCAAGAAGCAAAAGUACGAAAUCCACGUGCUUCGGAACCGAGUCAGUGACCACCAGAGGUUCUCCAAAACUCUCAAGAGCUCUCGUGGAGCCAAGAGCAAGCCUGGUUCCAGGAAGUGAAGACAGCCACGCCUUUUUUUAUUCUUUUAUUUUUAUAAAAGAGAUCCCAGAAACUGUUUGUGUACUAAGGCACCGAUCUUGAUCAAAAAAGUCAAGAUACUAAGUUCCUAAUGAAUCAUAUCAGUUGUUUUAGUAUUGUUGUGCUGUGUUUAUCUUGUCUUAUCUUUAUCUUGCUCCUUCAUACCAUCAUACACUACCCUUUUUCUCACUUUUGAACUAUAUUUUCACUUUUUGGUAUUCCUGUCUUUUCCAUUAAAUUUCAUCCUGUGGUGAUCUUUU